RNAcentral lists this ribosomal RNA (992 nucleotides) under uncultured bacterium. RNAcentral describes it as "bacterial SSU rRNA". It matches the Rfam family "Archaeal small subunit ribosomal RNA", at positions 343 to 1336 of the family's 1478-position model. The record is from RNAcentral.
AAAACUUUACAAUGCGGGAAACCGUGAUAAGGGGACACCGAGUGCUAGCAUCAUAUGCUGGCUGUCCAGGUGUGUAAAAUACACCUGUUAGCAAGGGCCGGGCAAGACCGGUGCCAGCCGCCGCGGUAACACCGGCGGCCCGAGUGGUGAUCGUGAUUAUUGGGUCUAAAGGGUCCGUAGCCGGUUUGGUCAGUCCUCCGGGAAAUCUGAUAGCUCAACUAUUAGGCUUUCGGGGGAUACUGCCAGACUUGGAACCGGGAGAGGUAAGAGGUACUACAGGGGUAGGAGUGAAAUCUUGUAAUCCCUGUGGGACCACCUGUGGCGAAGGCGUCUUACCAGAACGGGUUCGACGGUGAGGGACGAAAGCUGGGGGCACGAACCGGAUUAGAUACCCGGGUAGUCCCAGCCGUAAACGAUGCUCGCCAGGUGUCAGGCAUGGCGCGACCGUGUCUGGUGCCGCAGGGAAGCCGUGAAGCGAGCCACCUGGGAAGUACGGCCGCAAGGCUGAAACUUAAAGGAAUUGGCGGGGGAGCACAACAACGGGUGGAGCNUGCGGUUUAAUUGGACUCAACGCCGGACAACUCACCGGGGACGACAGCAAUAUGUAGGUCAGGCUGAAGACCUUACCUGAAUCGCUGAGAGGAGGUGCAUGGCCGUCGCCAGUUCGUACUGUGAAGCAUCCUGUUAAGUCAGGCAACGAGCGAGACCCGUGCCCACUGUUACCAGCAUAUCCUCCGGGAUGAUGGGUACUCUGUGGGGACCGCCGGUGUUAAAUCGGAGGAAGGUGCGGGCCACGGUAGGUCAGUAUGCCCCGAAUUUCCCGGGCUACACGCGGGCUACAAUGAAUGGGACAAUGGGUCCCUCCCCUGAAAAGGGCUGGUAAUCUCACAAACCCAUCCUUAGUUCGGAUCGAGGGCUGUAACUCGCCCUCGUGAAGCUGGAAUCCGUAGUAAUCGCGUUUCAAUAUAGCGCGGUGAAUACGUCCCUGCUCC